GACGAACGCUGGCGGCGUGCUUAACACAUGCAAGUCGAGCGGUAAGGCCCUUUCGGGGGUACACGAGCGGCGAACGGGUGAGUAACACGUGGGUGACCUGCCCUCAGCUCUGGGAUAAGCCUGGGAAACCGGGUCUAAUACUGGAUAUGACUCCAUGACGCAUGUUGUGGGGUGGAAAGCCUUGUGCGGCUGAGGAUGGGCCCGCGGCCUAUCAGCUUGUUGGUGGGGUGANGGCCUACCAAGGCGACGACGGGUAGCCGGCCUGAGAGGGCGACCGGCCACACUGGGACUGAGACACGGCCCAGACUCCUACGGGAGGCAGCAGUGGGGAAUCUUGCGCAAUGGGCGAAAGCCUGACGCAGCGACGCCGCGUGGGGAUGACGGCCUCGGUUGUAA
This 396-nucleotide ribosomal RNA is filed under the name uncultured bacterium. RNAcentral describes it as "bacterial SSU rRNA". It matches the Rfam family "Bacterial small subunit ribosomal RNA", at positions 28 to 428 of the family's 1533-position model. The record is from RNAcentral.